AUUGAACGCUGGCGGCAGGCCUAACACAUGCAAGUCGAGCGGUAACAGAAAGAAAGCUUGCUUUCUUUGCUGACGAGCGGCGGACGGGUGAGUAAUGCCUGGGAAUAUACCCUGAUGUGGGGGAUAACUAUUGGAAACGAUAGCUAAUACCGCAUAAUCUCUUCGGAGCAAAGAGGGGGACCUUCGGGCCUCUCGCGUCAGGAUUAGCCCAGGUGGGAUUAGCUAGUUGGUGGGGUAAUGGCUCACCAAGGCGACGAUCCCUAGCUGGUCUGAGAGGAUGAUCAGCCACACUGGAACUGAGACACGGUCCAGACUCCUACGGGAGGCAGCAGUGGGGAAUAUUGCACAAUGGGGGAAACCCUGAUGCAGCCAUGCCGCGUGUAUGAAGAAGGCCUUCGGGUUGUAAAGUACUUUCAGUUGUGAGGAAGGCGUUGGAGUUAAUAGCUUCAGCGCUUGACGUUAGCAACAGAAGAAGCACCGGCUAACUCCGUG
This 492-nucleotide ribosomal RNA is filed under the name uncultured bacterium. Its description in RNAcentral is "partial 16S ribosomal RNA". It matches the Rfam family "Bacterial small subunit ribosomal RNA", at positions 30 to 507 of the family's 1533-position model. The record is from RNAcentral.